CUUGCGCUAAAGGAGCGGCCGAUGUCUGAUUAGCUAGUUGGUGGGGUAAAGGCCUACCAAGGCGACGAUCAGUAGUUGGUCUGAGAGGACGACCAACCACACUGGGACUGAGACACGGCCCAGACUCCUACGGGAGGCAGCAGUGGGGAAUUUUGGACAAUGGGCGAAAGCCUGAUCCAGCCAUGCCGCGUGAGUGAAGAAGGCCUUCGGGUUGUAAAGCUCUUUCAGUCGGAAAGAAACGAUUGUGACUAAUACUCACAAUUAAUGACGGUACCGACAGAAGAAGCACCGGCUAACUACGUGCCAGCAGCCGCGGUAAUACGUAGGGUGCGAGCGUUAAUCGGAAUUACUGGGCGUAAAGGGUGCGCAGGCGGUCUUGCAAGUCAGAUGUGAAAUCCCC
This 400-nucleotide ribosomal RNA is filed under the name uncultured ammonia-oxidizing bacterium. Its description in RNAcentral is "bacterial SSU rRNA". It matches the Rfam family "Bacterial small subunit ribosomal RNA", at positions 212 to 604 of the family's 1533-position model. The record is from RNAcentral.